CAACCUGCCCAUCACUUGGGGAUAACCUUGCGAAAGUAAGACUAAUACCCAAUGAUAUCUCAAGAAGACAUCUGAAUGAGAUUAAAGAUUUAUCGGUGAUGGAUGGGGAUGCGUCUGAUUAGCUUGUUGGCGGGGUAACGGCCCACCAAGGCUACGAUCAGUAGGGGUUCUGAGAGGAAGGUCCCCCACAUUGGAACUGAGACACGGUCCAAACUCCUACGGGAGGCAGCAGUGAGGAAUAUUGGUCAAUGGGCGAGAGCCUGAACCAGCCAAGUAGCGUGCAGGAUGACGGCCCUAUGGGUUGUAAACUGCUUUUAUAAGGGAAUAAAGUGAGCCUCGUGAGGCUUUUUGCAUGUACCUUAUGAAUAAGGACCGGCUAAUUCCGUGCCAGCAGCCGCGGUAAUACGGAAGGUCCGGGCGUUAUCCGGAUUUAUUGGGUUUAAAGGGAGCGUAGGCCGGAGAUUAAGCGUGUUGUGAAAUGUAGAUGCUCAACAUCUGCACUGCAGCGCGAACUGGUUUCCUUGAGUACGCACAAAGUGGGCGGAAUUCGUGGUGUAGCGGUGAAAUGCUUAGAUAUCACGAAGAACUCCGAUUG
Molecule: ribosomal RNA, 595 nt
Filed under: uncultured Bacteroidota bacterium
Lineage: Bacteria; Pseudomonadati; Bacteroidota
Description: bacterial SSU rRNA
Rfam family: Bacterial small subunit ribosomal RNA
Source: RNAcentral